UAGGGAAUCUUCCUCAAUGGGCGAAAGCCUGAUGGAGCAACGCCGCGUGUGUGAUGAAGGGUUUCGGCUCGUAAAACACUGUUGUAAGAGAAGAAUGACAUUGAGAGUAACUGUUCAAUGUGUGACGGUAUCUUACCAGAAAGGAACGGCUAAAUACGUGCUAG
Molecule: ribosomal RNA, 164 nt
Filed under: uncultured bacterium
Lineage: Bacteria
Description: partial 16S rRNA
Rfam family: Bacterial small subunit ribosomal RNA
Source: RNAcentral